Molecule: long non-coding RNA, 2407 nt
Filed under: Gallus gallus (chicken)
Lineage: Eukaryota; Metazoa; Chordata; Aves; Galliformes; Phasianidae
Source: RNAcentral
GGCGGCCUCGCCUCACGGCCUUCCCGUGCUACCCCCGUGCCCGGGAGAUGCCCGCACGUCUCCCCGGGCCCGCCUGAUGCCCAAGAGACGACCCCCGGCCCGCCCCGCCUCUCGCUGAGGCAGUACCCCGGCCGAGCCGCCAGAUGUCAGCACGAGGCUUUGUGCCUCGCUCCGCUCUCAGUGACUGCUCCAGUCGCCAAAUAGCACGAAGCUUUCCCGUACAAUCCCAGGCCCUGCUUCAGCCCAUCCGCCUCUCCCGCUCAGAAGACUUUUUUGGAAGUAUAUGAUGAGCAACCAUUGAGAUUGGAUGGAAAGCAUCAGCAGCACCAGGAAACUCUUGGCAUAUGGAUAGUCUGUAAGUACACCUCAGUACAAAGUAAAAGUGGGUUAAGUAUUUAGUCAUUGGUGUACUCUACGAACAUAUUAUGGGUGUAUUGCACAGUAGCAAAGCCUAUUUUUUCUCUAAAAAAAAAAAACCACAGAGCUCAACAACACAGAAGAGUAAUGACCUCACCUUUCAGGUUGCAGUCCUACAAUUACUAAGCAAAGCAAACCCAAGGAUAGAAGCUGAGGUCAUCAGGCAAGCUCAUGACAGUAAAGUAAGGAUGAACCAAGAAAUCAUUUUACAGUUUAGAUGUUGAAAUUAGAAGGUAAUAUAUAGCUGAAGUAUAAAAUAAUGCCUCAGAUUAACAAAUAAGGCUCUUGUGUCAGUGGGCAGAGGGUGUGUGCAGGGUGGGGGGUGGAGGCCCCAGGUGAGGAUGGUCAGGGCCAUUCAGGUUUAUCAGUUCUUAAUCAGGUGUUAAUCAGACCCCUCUGGGCCCUGAUAGGGUAUGUAAAGGGACCUGAGGACUCCUGCUGUGUGUGUGAAUGAGCUGGGUAGUUUGUGACUGCAGAAAGGAAACAGCUGUAAUGGUGAUGGCCUUAGGGAAAGGUGUGUCCUCUUCCUUUCCUGGUGCUGUUUCAGUUAUAGGGUAUGAGAGGUUAUAAGCAACAGCUCCAUUACAUGUCUUGGAUGUGGAUGAUCUGGGUAGAAUUGUAAAAAUAUAGAGGGAAGCAGCUGCAGGGAUGAUAACUGUGGGGGGGGAAAGGUGGGUCCUCUUCCUUUUAUGUUCUGGAAAUUAGAAAUACUUAUACCUGCUUUGCAAGCUGUGAUCUUCCUUGAUUUGCAUGAGGAAACACAAAGACUGGGGAUUUAGGUUAAACUAUGGUUGAGGGGUUUUUACCUUCCUUGGUUGCUAAACGAUUUGGAAGGUAGAUGUUUUGAAGUCGUUUUUCUUGUUUGUUUUUUAUUUAAAGGAAUUGCUUCUGCAUGGGAUCCAGUGUGGGGAAUGCUCUGAAUCACUGUAACAGAGGUAUAAACACGGGACUUACAGGAAUAUGCCUGUAUUCAGAUAACAGAUCUGAAUGGUUUUGUUCCUAGUGCGGCCAGGGGAAAACUCCUACUGGUUUCUGCAUUGCUCUGCUUUGCAUUGUGUAAAUUAGGUAAUGGACAGAUAAAUAAUCGGUUUUCUAAGUGUUAUUUUGAACUGUUCUUUUGAGGCUGGAACCUGCCAAGCCUUCCCACAUCAUGCUGUAGCAUAAAGGGCUCUUAAUGCUCCCAUCGUCGUUAAUUACAUUAGUAAUUAAGGACGAAUGGAGCUGCAGGCUCUGCUGUUUUGGGCCCUGCACAAACAAAGCAGUAAUGUAAGUGGCAGUCCCUGUCUUGGAGAGCUUCAGACUAAAUGACAAAGAUGGGUGGAAAAAAUCUACCAGAAAUAUCUGGAAUGCAGUUUACUUUUUCUCUUGAGCCCCAUCCACGUGAAUCUUAAUGAUUUAUUCACGGGUUUUGAUAUUGUUGAUUCUGAUGUGCCAUCCUAAUACAGAACUUGCAUUUCUGGCCUGUACCUUUCAAUAACCAGUUAUGUGUUUUUUGUCUUUCAGCGGGGACAGGUUUCCCUGCCCGUGCUGGUGUAACAGGUUUGCCUUGUUCCCCUCCCAGGUCUUUGUGCAAAAGGAAAUUCCACUGCAAAUUUGCCUCAGAUGAUAGCAGUGCUGCUUUGUGCUUGGACUCUGUGCAGUCUUUUUGUUCAGCUGUUCAUGGAUUAAGGUUGAUAUCCAGAUGCCAUCCAGUGAAAGGGGAAGUGCAUGAAUCCAGGGGAGGCAAUGCAUGCAGCAGCUGCGCAGCUAUCAGAUCCCAGCCCUCUGCGAGCAGAAUCUGUCCUCCUCAGGGGAGUAAAUUUGCUCCCCCCACGUAAGUCUUUCAUGAACAGAUGCAGCAAUAAACACAAAACAGGAAUCUGAAGGUCUUUUCACGUUUCUUGUAGCUGAAAAGCAGAAGUACCAAAUCACAUUAGGUGACGCAGCUCAAAUAAACGCUGUUGCAAAGGAAGAAGAGCACAAAAUCAAUCUUAUUUCUCCAGCCGGGAAA